UACGAAGGGGGCGAGCGUUGUUCGGAAUUACUGGGCGUAAAGGGCGCGCAGGCGGCCUUAGAAGUCAGAUGUGAAAGCCCCCGGGCUCAACCUGGGAAUGGCAUUUGAUACUCUGAGGCUGGAGUACGGGAGAGGAGAGUGGAAUUCCCAGUGUAGAAGGUGAAAUUCGUAGAUAUUGGGAAGAACACCGGUGGCGAAGGCGGCUCUCUGGACCGUAACUGACGCUGAGGCGCGAAAGCGUGGGGAGCAAACAGGG
This 256-nucleotide ribosomal RNA is filed under the name uncultured bacterium. RNAcentral describes it as "partial 16S ribosomal RNA". It matches the Rfam family "Bacterial small subunit ribosomal RNA", at positions 524 to 777 of the family's 1533-position model. The record is from RNAcentral.